RNAcentral lists this ribosomal RNA (517 nucleotides) under uncultured bacterium. Its description in RNAcentral is "bacterial SSU rRNA". It matches the Rfam family "Bacterial small subunit ribosomal RNA", at positions 9 to 523 of the family's 1533-position model. The record is from RNAcentral.
GAGUUUGAUCAUGGCUCAGGAUGAACGCUAGCGGCAGGCCUAAUACAUGCAAGUCGAACGAGAUUAUCCAGCUUGCUGGAUAUGACAGUGGCGCACGGGUGCGUAACGCGUAUGCAACCUACCUUAAUCAGGGGGAUAGCCCGGAGAAAUUCGGAUUAACACCGCAUAAAAUCACAGUACGGCAUCGUACAAUGAUCAAAUAUUUAUAGGAUUAAGAUGGGCAUGCGUGUCAUUAGUUAGUUGGUGAGGUAACGGCUCACCAAGACCACGAUGACUAGGGGAUCUGAGAGGAUGACCCCCCACACUGGUACUGAGACACGGACUAGACUCCUACGGGAGGCAGCAGUAAGGAAUAUUGGUCAAUGGAGGCAACUCUGAACCAGCCAUGCCGCGUGUAGGAAGACGGCCCUCUGGGUUGUAAACUACUUUUAUCUAGGAAUAAACCUACUUACGUGUAAGUAGCUGAAUGUACUAGAAGAAUAAGGAUCGGCUAACUCCGUGCCAGCAGCCGCGGUAC